Molecule: ribosomal RNA, 647 nt
Filed under: uncultured bacterium
Lineage: Bacteria
Description: bacterial SSU rRNA
Rfam family: Bacterial small subunit ribosomal RNA
Source: RNAcentral
GUAAUACAUCGGAACGUACCCAGUAGUGGGGGAUAACGUAGCGAAAGCUACGCUAAUACCGCAUACGAACUACGGUUGAAAGCGGGGGAUCGCAAGACCUCGCGCUAUUGGAGCGGCCGAUGGCAGAUUAGCUAGUUGGUAGGGUAAAAGCCUACCAAGGCGACGAUCUGUAGCUGGUCUGAGAGGACGACCAGCCACACUGGGACUGAGACACGGCCCAGACUCCUACGGGAGGCAGCAGUGGGGAAUUUUGGACAAUGGGGGAAACCCUGAUCCAGCAAUGCCGCGUGUGUGAAGAAGGCCUUCGGGUUGUAAAGCACUUUUGGCAGGAACGAAACGGCUUGGGUUAAUACCUCGGGCUAAUGACGGUACCUGCAGAAUAAGCACCGGCUAACUACGUGCCAGCAGCCGCGGUAAUACGUAGGGUGCAAGCGUUAAUCGGAAUUACUGGGCGUAAAGCGAGCGCAGGCGGUUAUGUAAGACAGAUGUGAAAUCCCCGGGCUUAACCUGGGAACUGCAUUUGUGACUGCAUGGCUAGAGUGCGUCAGAGGGGGGUGGAAUUCCACGUGUAGCAGUGAAAUGCGUAGAGAUGUGGAGGAACACCGAUGGCGAAGGCAGCCCCCUGGGAUGACACUGACGCUCAUGCU